RNAcentral lists this ribosomal RNA (520 nucleotides) under uncultured bacterium. RNAcentral's name for it is "bacterial SSU rRNA". It matches the Rfam family "Bacterial small subunit ribosomal RNA", at positions 373 to 883 of the family's 1533-position model. The record is from RNAcentral.
GGGGGAAACCCUGACGCAGCAACGCCGCGUGAGUGAUGAAGGCUUUCGGGUCGUAAAGCUCUGUCAAGUGGGAAGAACCUGCUUUGUGAUAAUACCACGAAGCACUGACGGUACCACUGAAGGAAGCACCGGCUAACUCCGUGCCAGCAGCCGCGGUAAUACGGGGGGUGCUAGCGUUAUUCGGAAUCAUUGGGCGUAAAGGGCGCGUAGGCGGUCUCUUAAGUCAGAUGUGAAAGCCCUCGGCUUAACCGAGGAAGUGCAUUUGAUACUAGGAGACUUGAGUAUGGGAGAGGGAAGCGGAAUUCCUGGUGUAGCGGUGAAAUGCGUAGAUAUCAGGAGGAACACCGGUGGCGAAGGCGGCUUCCUGGACCAAUACUGACGCUGAGGCGCGAAGGCGUGGGGAGCAAACAGGAUUAGAUACCCUGGUAGUCCACGCAGUAAACGGUGAACACUAGGUGUAGCGGGUAUUGACCCCCGCUGUGCCGAAGCUAACGCAUUAAGUGUUCCGCCUGGGAAGUAC